This is a non-coding RNA of Gilliamella sp., 47 nucleotides long. Lineage: Bacteria; Pseudomonadati; Pseudomonadota; Gammaproteobacteria; Orbales; Orbaceae. The record is from Rfam.
AAAAAGGUGCUUUUCAGCACCCUUUCAUUUAGUCAUAAAUUAUGGUU